AACGAACGCUGGCGGCAGGCUUAACACAUGCAAGUCGAACGCAUGCCUUCGGGCAUGAGUGGCAGACGGGUGAGUAACGCGUGGGAACCUACCCCUUGGUACGGGAUAGCUCCGGGAAACUGGAGAUAAUACCGUAUGUGUCCUGAGGGACAAAGAUUCAUCGCCAAGGGAUGGGCCCGCGUCGGAUUAGCUAGUUGGUGGGGUAACGGCCUACCAAGGCGACGAUCCGUAGCUGGUCUAAGAGGAUGAUCAGCCACAUUGGGACUGAGACACGGCCCAAACUCCUACGGGAGGCAGCAGUGGGGAAUAUUGGACAAUGGGCGCAAGCCUGAUCCAGCCAUGCCGCGUGAGUGAUGAAGGCCCUAGGGUUGUAAAGCUCUUUCACCGGUGACGAUAAUGACGGGAACCGGAGAAGAAGCCCCGGCGAACUUCGU
RNAcentral lists this ribosomal RNA (434 nucleotides) under uncultured bacterium. RNAcentral describes it as "partial 16S ribosomal RNA". It matches the Rfam family "Bacterial small subunit ribosomal RNA", at positions 29 to 506 of the family's 1533-position model. The record is from RNAcentral.